GAGUUUGAUCCUGGCUCAGGAUGAACGCUGGCGGCGUGCUUAACACAUGCAAGUCGAACGAAGCACUUUAUUUGAUUUCCUUCGGGACUGAUUAUUUUGUGACUGAGUGGCGGACGGGUGAGUAACGCGUGGGUAACCUGCCUCAUACAGGGGGAUAACAGUUAGAAAUGACUGCUAAUACCGCAUAAGACCACAGCACCGCAUGGUGCAGGGGUAAAAACUCCGGUGGUACAAGAUGGACCCGCGUUGGAUUAGCUAGUUGGCAGGGCAGCGGCCUACCAAGGCGACGAUCCAUAGCCGGCCUGAGAGGGUGAACGGCCACAUUGGGACUGAGACACGGCCCAGACUCCUACGGGAGGCAGCAGUGGGGAAUAUUGCACAAUGGGGGAAACCCUGAUGCAGCGACGCCGCGUGAAGGAAGAAGUAUCUCGGUAUGUAAACUUCUAUCAGCAGGGAAGAUAAUGACGGUACCUGACUAAGAAGCCCCGGCUAACUACGUGCCAGCAGCCGCGGUAAUUC
Molecule: ribosomal RNA, 519 nt
Filed under: uncultured bacterium
Lineage: Bacteria
Description: bacterial SSU rRNA
Rfam family: Bacterial small subunit ribosomal RNA
Source: RNAcentral